This 319-nucleotide ribosomal RNA is filed under the name uncultured eukaryote. RNAcentral's name for it is "partial 18S ribosomal RNA". It matches the Rfam family "Eukaryotic small subunit ribosomal RNA", at positions 1470 to 1796 of the family's 1831-position model. The record is from RNAcentral.
CCCUUAGAUGUUCUGGGCUGCACGCGCGCUACACUGACGCACGCAACAGGUGCCUGCUCCGAGAGGACUGGGUAAUCAUUUGAGUGUGCGUCGUGAUGGGGAUAGAAUAUUGUAAUUAUUACUCUUCAACGAGGAAUUCCUAGUAAGCGCAAGUCAGCAGCUUGCGCUGAUUACGUCCCUGCCCUUUGUACACACCGCCCGUCGCUCCUACCGAUUGAAUGUUCCGGUGAGCUCUUCGGACUGCGCGGUCUGCAGUUUCUGCGUUCCGUGCGGAAAGUUGCGCAAACCUUAACAUUUAGAGGAAGGAGAAGUCGUAACA